RNAcentral lists this ribosomal RNA (253 nucleotides) under uncultured bacterium. RNAcentral describes it as "partial 16S ribosomal RNA". It matches the Rfam family "Bacterial small subunit ribosomal RNA", at positions 524 to 776 of the family's 1533-position model. The record is from RNAcentral.
UACGUAGGGACCAAGCGUUGUUCGGAUUUACUGGGCGUAAAGGGCGCGUAGGCGGCAUGACAAGUCACUUGUGAAAUCUCUGGGCUUAACCCAGAACGGCCAAGUGAUACUGUCACGCUAGAGUGCGGAAGGGGCAAUCGGAAUUCUUGGUGUAGCGGUGAAAUGCGUAGAUAUCAAGAGGAACACCUGAGGUGAAGACGGGUUGCUGGGCUGACACUGACGCUGAGGCGCGAAAGCCAGGGGAGCAAACGGG